Molecule: long non-coding RNA, 1108 nt
Organism: Beta vulgaris subsp. vulgaris (sugar beet)
Lineage: Eukaryota; Viridiplantae; Streptophyta; Magnoliopsida; Caryophyllales; Amaranthaceae
Exons: 4
Source: RefSeq, a predicted model, not a curated record
GAACUUUGAAAUAGGUUACACUUUCGUGUUACACUUUGAAAUAGGUUAACAAUACUAUAUUAAUUUCAAAUAUCAUUAACUAUUGGCACAAUUCUUUGCCUCCGUGAAAAAAUAAAUACUAAAAUUGCAAAGAAGUGCCUCGAUUCCCUCCUCUUUCUAAUUUCAUUUUUCUUCAAUUCCCAUUAACGCCUUAGAAGCUAGAAAAUAUUGACCACCCUCCAUGUAUCCAUUCCAAUUUCACCCACCUCGACUCUUCUCUCUGCUACACCCGACUAAUCUAGGUAUCUAUGAUUGAGAUUGGCCCACAGAAGCGGAGAAACUAGGGUUUUGAGAUCUCCGACACGAAUAUGUCUGCAUUUUGACUCGUAAACCACCGACUAAUCUUCCCGAGGUUGUUGAGUUUUCCGGGGAAUCUUCACACUUCUUGUCGUCUCUUACAGGUUUCUUUCUCAUUUGAAGUUGAGUUCUUUCUUGAAUCCUUAGCAUCAUAAUGCUUGUACAUGAUGAUGCUUGUCUGCUAUGUGCGAACAUUAUUUUCAAUAGGCUUGGGGCAACUGAUUGGAUUAUGACUGGCGAAAGUAAGUUUUAUGACAACUUUCCCCACUUAUUUUCUUGACUUAGAUGCCAUUAUUAGAGUUGGGCUGGAGUCAAUAAUGAUCAAGAUAAGCAAAAUGAAGAAUUGAAGUAUCAACUCAUGACAUCGAGGUAGUUAGAAAAAUAUAUGCAUAUGGCGGAUGGACCAAAGAUGGAUCGAACAAGAGAUGAUCAGUCUUCACAACAAAACUCUGGGUUGGAAGUCUUGACAAAUUGGCAUAUAUGGAUUAGGAAGGUGCACGCAAAUGGCGAGAUGACAGAAGAUGGAGACUAGAUAUAUGACUAUUAGGUCUAAUGUCAGAUUAUCAUAUGAAUAUGUUGCUUGUUGGAAGGUUUUGAUUUUAUAUAGUACAUAAUUUUUUUUUCAUUAGUUUGUUUUUGGAAAUAUAGCACUAAUCGGUGUAUGAAACUAAAUCAUUAUUGUAAUAUAAUGUAUAUUAAUUUCUUAUAGCCUGAUUAGUAUUUUUAUUGUAAUUUUAAAUAAAUAUAUAUAUUAAAGAAAAGUGUUACCUAA